Molecule: ribosomal RNA, 460 nt
Filed under: uncultured bacterium
Lineage: Bacteria
Description: partial 16S ribosomal RNA
Rfam family: Bacterial small subunit ribosomal RNA
Source: RNAcentral
CCUACGGGAGGCAGCAGUGAGGAAUAUUGGUCAAUGGACGGAAGUCUGAACCAGCCAUGCCGCGUGCAGGAAGACGGCUCUAUGAGUUGUAAACUGCUUUUGUACAAGGGUAUACAUGACUACGUGUAUUCAGCUGACAGUCCUGUACGACUUAGGAUCGGCUAACUCGGUGCGAGAAGCCGCGGUACUACGGAGGAGCCAAGCGUUAUCCGGAUUUAUUGGGGUUAUAGGGUGCGUAGGCGGAUUAAUAAGUUAGUGGUGGAAUGUCCGAGCUUAACUCGGGAACUGCCUCUAAUACUGUUGAUCUAGAGAGUAGGUGCGGUAGGCGGAAUGUAUGGUGUAGCGGUGAAAUGCUUAGAGAUCAUACAGAACACCGAUUGCGAAGGCAGCUUACCAAUCUAUAUCUGACGUUGAGGCACGAAAGCGUGGGGAGCAAACAGGAUUAGAUACCCGAGUAGUC